Molecule: long non-coding RNA, 2750 nt
Organism: Oncorhynchus tshawytscha (Chinook salmon)
Lineage: Eukaryota; Metazoa; Chordata; Actinopteri; Salmoniformes; Salmonidae
Source: Ensembl
CUUGAUGUUUCCAUCGUCGCGGAUGACUCCUCCCCAGCGUGUGUAGAUGGACAGGCCGCCACUGGCCUCCCUCUCGCCCUCCCUCUUCAACAGCUCCUGCUUCUCCCUCAUCUUCUCCCAGUUCCUCAGUAGGAACACACAGUGCUUCAGCACAAAGUUCCUGAGCCACAGGGAGAGAGAGAGAGAGCGGUGAGUGUGUGUGUUCUGUUUGCAUGAAGGGCAGGUGGGGUGUGUUUGGCACGUGUGCUGUGUGUGUACCUCUCUCUGUUGGACAUGGGUUUCAUAAGAAGGUGGGGAUAAAACUUGCUGCUGUCACUUGAAUCCUCCUCCUUGGGAAAAGAGAAGAGGGGGAGAGUUAGAGAUAAAGGAGUACUGAUCCUAUGCUGCUGUCACUUGAAUCCUCCUCCUUGGGAAAAGAGAAGAGGGGGAGAGUUAGAGAUAAAGGAGUACUGAUCCUAUGCUGUUGUCACUUGAAUCCUCCUCCUUGGGAAAGGAGAAGAGGGGGAGAGUUAGAGAUAAAGGAGUACUGAUCCUAUGCUGCUGUCACUUGAAUCCUCCUUCUUGGGAAAGGAGACAAGGGGGAGAGUUAGAGAUAAAGAAGUACUGAUCCUAUGCUGCUGUCACUUGAAUCCUCCUCCUUGGGAAAAGAGAAGAGGGGGAGAGUUAGAGAUAAAGGAGUACUGAUCCUAUGCUGCUGUUCAGUCCAGCCCUCUCACUAUUCAAGUCCAUGUCAUUUUUUUAAUCGAACCUUCCACCCCACAAAAAGCUCCUUUGAAACAAAGACUCACUCUGUUCUACAUGCACAGUGCCCCUUAAAAUAAACUUAGCCGUUCUGUAGGUUACAGAGCUAAAGACAUGGCAAAAUAUUGACUGAUUUAGGACCAGAAUACAAUGGCUUUGCUUUUAGGCUCCAUAAAAUAGCUGUGGUAAAACGUUUGAUGACAGUAAAUAUCAAAGACCCAUUGCAGUGGCAAGACACCUGAUAUAACAUUUCCUCUAGUCUCUCUCCCUUACACGCACUCGUUUUUUCAGCUGGUGCUUGGACUUGCGUUUCUCCUUGAGUCGACCCAGCCGCCGUGCCCCGCCUGUCUUUCCAGGCAUCCCGUUGAUUCGCUGGCUUUUCCCUCCGAUGAUGCCCCGGCAGCCCUCUGAGCCACAUUUACACACUUGCUGUAGAGAGAGUGAGAGCGAGAGAGAGCGAGAGAGAGGGGAGUAGAGAAAGAGAGAGCGGAGUAAAGAGAGAGAGAGCGAGGGGAGUAGAGAGAGGGGAGUAGAGAAAGAGAGGGGAGUAGAGAGAGAGAGAGGGGAGUAGAGAGAGAGGGGAAUACAGAGAGAGAGCGAGAGAGAGGGAAGUAGAGAAAGAGAGGGAGUAGAGAAAGAGAGGGAGUAGAGAGAGAGAGGGGAGUAGAGAAAGAGAGGGGAGUAGAGAGAGAGAGAGAGGGAGUAGAGAGAGAGAGGGAGGAGAGAGAGGGGAGAGAGAGAGAGAGGGGAGUAGAGAGAGAGAGAGAGAGAGAGAGGGGAGAGAGCGAGAGGAGUAGAGAGAGCGAGGGGAGUAAAGAAAAAGAGGAGGAGAGAGAGCGAGGGGAGUAGAGAGAGAGAGAGAGAGGGGAGGAGAGAGGGGAGUAGAGAGAGAGCGGGGAGGAGAGAGAGAGCAAGAGAGAGAGAGAGAGGGGAGGAGAGAGGGGAGUAGAGAGAGAGAGGAGUAGAGAGAGCGAGAGGGAAGGGAGUAAAGAGAGAGAGAGAGAGGGGAGUAGAGAGAGAGAGGGAGUAGACAGAGAGAGGGAGUAGAGAGAGAGGGGAGUAGAGAGAGAGGGGAGUAGAGAGAGAGAGGAGUAGAGAGAGAGAGAGAGAGGUAGAGAGAGCGAGGGGAGGGGAGGGGAGAGAGGGGAGAAGAGAGAGAUGGGAGUAGAGAGAGAGAGGGGAGUAGAGAGAGAGAGGGAGUAGAGAGAGGGAGAGGGGAGUAGAGAGAGCAAGAGAGAGGGGAGUAGAGAGAGGGAAGGAGAGUGAGAGAGAAGGGAGUAGAGAGAAAGAGAUGGGAGUAGAGAGAGAGAGGGGAGUAGAGAGAGAGAGGGAGAAAUGGGAGUAGAGAGCGGGGAAGAGGGGGAGAGAUGGGAGUAGAGAGCGGGGAGGAGAGAGAGAGAGGGGAGUAGAGAGAAAGGGGAGUUGAGAGCGAGAGGGGAGUAGGGAGAGAGAGGGGAGUAGAGAGAGAGACGGGAGUAGAGAGAGAGUGGAGUAGAGAAAGAGAGAGCGGAGUAAAGAGAGAGAGAGCGAGGGGAGUAGAGAGAGGGGAGUAGAGAAAGAGAGGGGAGUAGAGAGAGAGAGAGGGGAGAGAGAGAGGGGAAUACAGAGAGAGAGCGAGAGAGAGGGGAGUAGAGAAAGAGAGGGGAGUAGAGAGAGAGAGGGGAGUAGAGAGAGAGCGGAGUAAAGAGAGAGAGAGAGCGAGGGGAGUAGAGAGGGGAGUAGAGAAAGAGAGGGGAGUAGAGAGAGAGAGAGGGAAGUACAGAGAGAGAGAGGGGAGUACAGAGAGAGAGCGAGAGAGAGGAGAGUAGAGAAAGAGAGGGGAGUAGAGAAAGAGAGGGGAGUAGAGAGAGAGAGGGAGUAGAGAAAGAGAGGGGAGUAGAGAGAGAGAGAGGGGAGUAGAGAGAGAGGGAGUAGAGAGAGAGAGGGGAGUAGAGAGAGAGAGAGGGGAGUAGAGAGAGCGAGAGAGAGAGAGAGAGAGGGAGAGAGCGAGAGGAGUAGAGAGAGCGAGG